Bubalus bubalis (water buffalo) is the source of this 785-nucleotide long non-coding RNA. RefSeq lists it as uncharacterized. The record is from RefSeq and is a predicted model, not a curated record. Lineage: Eukaryota; Metazoa; Chordata; Mammalia; Artiodactyla; Bovidae. The transcript has 3 exons.
GAAAGCUGAGUGGUCGACACGCGUCAGAGGGUUCUCGGGGCGCGUCGGAGGGUUCCCGAGGCCGGUGAAGCCGGCGGAGGUCACCUCCGCCAGUCGACGCCUCAACCGGGCGUUAGCCUCAGGCUUCACGGAAGUGAAAGCGAGCCAAGAGUAAGACAAAAACCAGUACAAAUAAAUCCCCAAGUCAAAACAGCUACAGUCGAAUUUAAGGAAAGCAAAGAUUCUCUCUUUAGAGGCUUCUGAAAUGUUCAAUUCAGUGGUCCCCAAAUUUGCCGCCCACUGGAAUCACCUGGUCAUCUUUAAAAACUACUGAUGCCUGGCUCCCGUCUCGCAGUAUUGUAAUUUACCAGGUGUAUUGACUUUUAAAGGAUGUUUGUGGUUUCAGAGAAACCCCAGGACACACAGAGAAACUUGAAAUUUCCAAGGAUGUGAACUGCAAGACAACCGUUGCUUAUCAGAUCUUGUCCUUGACAUUAUGGACAAGCUUCUUUCAAAGAAAGCUCUUUACCCAUGGGGAUAAGGGAGUUGAUGGAUAUAAGAAUCAUUUCUGGACUGUCACACACAGGCCAUGCAACCUCACCAAAUAAAUAGUUCUUUGUAUAAAGAAAAAAAGAACUGUUGUCAUGAUGGGAAAGAGGAUAGGAAAAGACUCAGAUGUCCCAAAUGGAAUUACAACUCAUUCAUUUGAAUGGAAUAUUUGAAAAAUAAAAUAGGGGUAUUUAAGCACAGUCCACGGGGAUUAUAAAUUAUGGGCAGUGUGUUCCUUAUUUAGAAUGUUUAGGGAG